This is a non-coding RNA of Ciona savignyi (Pacific transparent sea squirt), 50 nucleotides long. NCBI's taxonomy places the organism in Eukaryota, Metazoa, Chordata, Ascidiacea, Phlebobranchia, Cionidae. The record is from Rfam.
GAUUCCUGGCUUUCACCCAGGCGUCCCGGGUUCGAUUCCCGGUGUAGGAA